GCCUCCUCGCGCGACUGGCGACCUUGGAUGGAGCACCAUCGGGAAGCGCGAAACGACCUGCCGUUCGCCUGGGCGAUCGGG
Molecule: non-coding RNA, 81 nt
Filed under: Sphingomonas endophytica
Lineage: Bacteria; Pseudomonadati; Pseudomonadota; Alphaproteobacteria; Sphingomonadales; Sphingomonadaceae
Description: ZTP sequence
Rfam family: ZMP/ZTP riboswitch aptamer (pfl RNA motif)
About the family: Previously known as pfl RNA.
Source: RNAcentral